GGGGCUGGCGGUACAUCGGCAGGUGAGAGAUGUAGGGGGCGGUCGGUGGCCGGUUUUAUUGGGCGGAAAGAGCGUGGUGACGGCCAUAACGGUGCGUGGUGAAAGCUCGAGGCUGAACGUCGGGGUGCCGAUGGGAACCGUCGGUCUAGAGUCCGGAAGAGGAGAUGGGAAUUCCUUGUGUAUCGUUGAAAUGCGCAGAUAUCAGGAAGAACACCCGUGGCUAAGGCGGCUCUCGAGUACGGUACUGACGCUGAGACGCGAAAGCGUGGGGAGCGAACAGGAUUAGAUACCCCAGUAGUC
Molecule: ribosomal RNA, 300 nt
Filed under: uncultured Methanomassiliicoccus sp.
Lineage: Archaea; Methanobacteriati; Thermoplasmatota; Thermoplasmata; Methanomassiliicoccales; Methanomassiliicoccaceae
Description: bacterial SSU rRNA
Rfam family: Bacterial small subunit ribosomal RNA (bases 52-300)
Source: RNAcentral